GGUCAAAGAGGGGGACCUUCGGGCCUCUCGCGUCAGGAUAUGCCUAGGUGGGAUUAGCUAGUUGGUGAGGUAAUGGCUCACCAAGGCGACGAUCCCUAGCUGGUCUGAGAGGAUGAUCAGCCACACUGGAACUGAGACACGGUCCAGACUCCUACGGGAGGCAGCAGUGGGGAAUAUUGCACAAUGGGCGCAAGCCUGAUGCAGCCAUGCCGCGUGUGUGAAGAAGGCCUUCGGGUUGUAAAGCACUUUCAGUCGUGAGGAAGGUAGUGUAGUUAAUAGCUGCAUUAUUUGACGUUAGCGACAGAAGAAGCACCGGCUAACUCCGUGCCAGCAGCCGCGGUAAUACGGAGGGUGCGAGCGUUAAUCGGAAUUACUGGGCGUAAAGCGCAUGCAGGUGGUUUGUUAAGUCAGAUGUGAAAGCCCGGGGCUCAACCUCGGAAUAGCAUUUGAAACUGGCAGACUAGAGUACUGUAGAGGGGGGUAGAAUUUCAGGUGUAGCGGUGAAAUGCGUAGAGAUCUGAAGGAAUACCGGUGGCGAAGGCGGCCCCCUGGACAGAUACUGACACUCAGAUGCGAAAGCGUGGGGAGCAAACAGGNUUAGAUACCCUGGUAGUCCACGCCGUAAACGAUGUCUACUUGGAGGUUGUGGCCUUGAGCCGUGGNUUUCGGAGCUAACGCGUUAAGUAGACCGCCUGGGGAGU
This 701-nucleotide ribosomal RNA is filed under the name Vibrio harveyi. Its description in RNAcentral is "bacterial SSU rRNA". It matches the Rfam family "Bacterial small subunit ribosomal RNA", at positions 199 to 881 of the family's 1533-position model. The record is from RNAcentral. Lineage: Bacteria; Pseudomonadati; Pseudomonadota; Gammaproteobacteria; Vibrionales; Vibrionaceae.